Molecule: long non-coding RNA, 3348 nt
Filed under: Olea europaea subsp. europaea
Lineage: Eukaryota; Viridiplantae; Streptophyta; Magnoliopsida; Lamiales; Oleaceae
Source: RNAcentral
GUAGAGAGUUGCUUCUCAUGUUUUGUGAAUAGCCGUCACAUGAGGAAUAAAAGCAUUUAACAACUUGGACUAAUUCUAUAUUUGUUCCUUCCAAAUAAGGAAAAAAAGGAUGUAAAAGAAUAUAUUUUUCUUCUAAGUUGAUGAAUCUCCUUUAUUGAUCAAUAUGUGAUAUUCCAACUCCUCAUCACUAUUGAAAUCCAGAUGAUAUUGCGAUUAAUUCAUUUUUGCCUAAACUCAACUAUUUAAACAAAACUAGAUCUUCAUUCUUUAUUUGUUUUUUUCCUUUUUACUAUUUUAACUGAGUAAAUAUCAUUUCUUAAUACAUUUGGUUAAUUUUGGGGUUUCACUUGCACGCAAUAGCCUACACCGAAGGAGACAAGUACUAUGGGGCAAAAGCAAUUAUUAAUGUUUGGGAACCUAAAAUACAGCAGCAUCAUAAUGAGUUCAAUUUGUCCCAAAUUUGGUUACUGGGUGGUUCAUUUGGUGAAGAUCUCAAUAGCAUUAAAGCUGGUUGGUACGUAUAUUUUUCUCCAAAUUACUUUGUCGAUCAUAAUUUGUUGCAUUCAUCUAACGGAUUAGAAUGCAUGUUAUUUCAAGUUAGCCUUGAUCUCUACAGGGAUAACAACACAACCAUUUUUGAAUACAUACCUAUAGACAAUUUAAAAAAGAAUGCCAGCUCAUAUUAAAUAGAAGUUAAUUAUAAGUACAAAAACUCAAAGAAAGCAUUUAAUGGACGUUCUUAAUAGUUAGUCUUGUGUUUUGGAACAUGCUUAUAUAUGUGACAAUUAUGCUUCUCUUCCAAUCCAAUUUAGCACAUCGAGUAAAAGCUUCAAUUGGCACCCGAUGUUGUAUGUCUCUAAUAACUGGAGCUAAUUGGUUAUAUGUAGAGGAAAUUUUACUAUUAGUUCAUCUCAAGCAUAAAUAAAAUAGUUAAUCCAUAAGCAAGCUGGAGUAUAGUAUGAAUCCUACUAUAAAUUUCUCUGUCAAAAUGAUUUUUCUUAUAUUUGUAGUUUUUUUCAUGGGACAAGCUUUGAGAAAUCAUUUGGCAAUGAUGAGAGAAGAGAAAGAAAAUCCCAUUUUGAGAAUUCUUAAAAUGAAAGAACGACGAGAAUCGAUUCCCUAAAAAAGAAAGCACUGAACGUGUCUUCAAAGUCAAGCAUUCUCUCAAGAAGAGCAGCAGAAGUAAGAGUGGUGUUAAUGGCAACUUCGUUUCAUUUGAGGAUAUUCGGGAUGCUGAUGAGCUGCAAGCUAUUAAGGCAUUUCGGCGAGCCUUGAUGCUAAUUGCCAAACAAGUUUGAUGAUUAUCAUAUGAUGUUGAGGUUAUUAUACAACACUUUUGCUACUUUUAGUCAAAUGUUCGCAUGUACGGAUGGAAAUAUAAAUUGUAUCCUAGUUUAACAUUUAGAUGUCCUAAUUUUAUCCUCGUUACUAUGGAGGUAACUAGACAUCCCUUCCUCCUUUAGUAGGACAAUUUAUGAUUUUGCUGCAUUACUUUAUAGUUUUUCCUAUAUUGCAGUCGGUGGUUAAGAUUUGAAGGAUUGCAUUUAAUAGUCUUUCCAGAUAAGUUACUUUUCUAUUUCUUGCAAACAUUUUAGUAGAUGGUUGGAAAAGUAUGCAACUAUUCGAACUUUUGUCGAUAAUUAUCCUGAAGUAACAUUUCGGUCUUUUAUUUGAUAAGAGAUAUUAGGUUUUGUGUAGUCUUGGUAGUGUAAUAUAUUGUGUCAUCCAAAUGUUGCAGACAUUUCAUAAAAUAUUUAUCAUCAAGAUGGCCCAGGUAUUAUGCUACUGUAGAAUAUUGUAAAGAGUUUCUUGAUCCUAGGGCCACCACUAAAUACAUGUAUGUUGCUAUUUCUUCCUUUUUUCCAUCUGGAAACAUUAUUUUUCUCACUUAAAUGGCUGACUUUAAUUACUCGGUCUAUCUUUUUUGGAAUAUCUCACAUGUUCUUGGAAACAAAUAUAAGAACAAGUUGCUUGAAAUAAAAGAUACCAAGUGCAAAACAAUGGAAACCGUUGUUGCAACUUGUGAACAUUGAAAUUUAUUUCGAGAUUCUGACGCAUAUUUUUGGGUGUGUGUAGUGCUCCGAAUUCUUUGGUGGAACAUAUAUCUUUGCAGACCAAGGGGUUUGCCUUCGGUCAGGUAAACGACCAAGGAAAAUUCCCCGAGAUACAAAAGGUCCUUCCUAACAUGGGAGCUAUUAAAUUGAUCUACAAAGAUAAUAUAUAAAUACUUGUGUUAUAAUUUUGAUCAUGUUAAAAAUAAUAAAUGGCUCGAAAUCAUGUUGCAGAUAGUGCUUGAUGGUAAAGCACAACUGCCAGGAAGGUGGUUGAAAAUCUUAACAACAACGGAAAGAUAGUUUAUGCUAAGCCCCACUACUUGAUUGUAUAGACUAUGUCUGUUGUGCAUAUGAUUAGGCACAACUACACAAUAUUUAUGUUUUAUGUGAGAUUUUAUUUUUAUUUGGUCGUUGAAGCAGGUAAAAGGCAGUGACAUCUCAACUGUUGAAUUUGGUUCUGAAGAUGAAGAUAUUUCUUCACCAAAAGCUAUUAGGAGUUACUCGCACCUUUGAUUGACUCAUGUUCGUGAGGAGGUAUGGUCAAGCCUGACAAUUUCAAGAUUAGAUAUUUAAUUAUUUGCUAUUGAAAAUAAUGUUUUCUAUAAGUUUAAUUGAAACCUCCCUUAUUUAGUCUUGAGUCUGGUGGUAGCUUGUGCAAAUAUUUAAUUUGGUGCUCGUAGGUCAGUUAGUAUUUGCUUAAUUGCAACACAAGUGCAAAAUUAUCAAUUGCUUGAUAUCAUCUCUUUGAUUGGUUUAAAAGCAUCUAUAUAUACCCUAAAAAGGUGUCCAGUUUCAUGGAAUUCAAAUUUAGAUAAAUUUUUAUAGGUCGGGUUGUGCAAUCUUUUGCUACUAAAAAAUCAAGUAAAGUGACAUUAUUCAAGAGUUCAUUAGUUAUUUGAUAAUUAUUAUUUAUAAUGUCUAUCAUUUUAUUUAUGAUAUAAGGUGCAAAUUCUUCAUGAAAUAUAACUAAGCACACAAUUUCUUGUAAGAAAUAUUUUUCCUAUAAAACUAAUUUUCCUUACUUAAGAAAGGGAUAUCUUUACCAUAUAGAGUGUGAACACAGCAUAGAAAAGUGUUGACACUUUCUCAAUCCCUCACAAAAAUUAAUGUGGAGGAUCAACCUUUCUCUUUUGAUUAUCUCAGGUUAAAGCUCAUGGAAACUCUAGCUUGGUAAAUUAUCACGAUAUGAUGAGUAUGUUCCUAUGGUUGACAAAGUUGUUGAUUCUGGAUGGAAAAAGCAAACAUCACUUUCAAAACCUUAUGUUGUUAAAGGUUAGUUGCUUUAGAAGUUCCA